GUGCUCUUUCCUACAGCACAUGUAAUAGAAUUGAUAUGAUACUGAGAAGAUUAGCAUGCCCCUGUGUGAGGAUGACAUGGAAAUUUGUUAAGCAUUCCAUAGUUUA
Molecule: small nuclear RNA, 106 nt
Organism: Dipodomys spectabilis (banner-tailed kangaroo rat)
Lineage: Eukaryota; Metazoa; Chordata; Mammalia; Rodentia; Heteromyidae
Source: RefSeq, a predicted model, not a curated record